RNAcentral lists this small RNA (823 nucleotides) under Pongo abelii (Sumatran orangutan). Its description in RNAcentral is "processed transcript". The record is from RNAcentral. Lineage: Eukaryota; Metazoa; Chordata; Mammalia; Primates; Hominidae.
GUAGCCGAACCUCUUCUUAGCCACCUUACUGUCUCAAACAUGACCUGGGGCAGUGCGUUCAUCUCGUGGGAAGCUCAGGAGUCUGCCUUUGAUAGCUUUCUUAUAGAAGUUAGUAAUUCCGAUCACCCCCAUGAGACCAUGGUGCUCUCUGUGCCUGGAGUGUCUCGCAGCUCUGUCAUCACCAACCUCAAAGCUUCUUCUAAUUACACUGCCCACCUUCAUGGGCUGAUUGGCGGGCAGCGUGCUCAGACCCUGAUGGUCCAAGCAACCACAGAACCAGAGCCACAGUUGGGCACGCUAAUCCUUAGCAAUAUUACUCCAAACAGCUUCAACAUGUCAUGGACCACUCAAGCUGGGCUUUUUGCAAAGAUUGUGAUCAAUGUGAGUGAUGCUCACUCACUGCAUGAGUCCCAGCAAUUCACAGUCUCAGGAGAUGCAAAGCAAGCUCACAUCACAGGCUUGGUGGAGAACACUGGCUAUGGCGUCAGUGUGGCAGGGACCACCUUGGCUGGGGAUCCCACCAGACCCCUCACUGCCUUUGUCGUUACAGAGGCCCUGCCCCUUCUGGAAAACCUAACCAUUUCCGACAUUAAUCCCUACGGGUUCACAGUUUCCUGGAUGGCAUCGGAGAAUGCCUUUGACAGCUUUCUAGUAACGGUGGUGGAUUCUGGGAAGCUGCUGGACCCCCAGGAAUUCACACUUUCAGGAACCCAGAGGAAGCUGGAGCUUAGAGGCCUCAUAACUGGCAUUGGCUAUGAGGUUAUGGUCUCUGGCUUCACCCAAGGGCACCAAACCAAGCCCUUGAGGGCUGAGAUUGUUACAG